AUUUGAGCAGACUUGAAGAGGAGAGAAACUGAGACACGCAGGGCUUGUGGUCCCUGACAAGGAGGACCCUGAGGGCAACCACACCUUGCCAUGCAGAGCACCUGGCUUCUCAUCUGCCAACCUCACUCUGACCCGGCUGCAGGAAGGGAAGGAGCCAACCCCGGACUCAAGACUCAAGGGGACCAGAACCAGGGAGAUGAGACAUACCAGGGCUGGGCAGCUGUGGGGGUCCUUCCAGAGAGGAGCUGAGAUACGCCUACCUGGAGGGGCCCCUGGGCCUGGAGGGGCUCCUCAGUGUGACUGGGUGAAGUGUUUUCAGAGGACCAGGGUUGAGGUUGGGGGCAUCUCAUCCAGACCCUGCCGGUAUCUGCCCCAGAACCCAAGGGCCCCUCCUUCCUCCUUCCUCAAUGGAAAUGCUGGGGAUGUCCUCAGUCACCCUCUGAGCACUCACACAUCACCCCUUAUUUGGAAAUUUUUCUCACUCUAACCUUCCUUCCUGCUGCACCUUCUGCCCCAUCCUCAGGCUCUGGCCUCUCUCUCUCUCCUCUUCUACCCUUUAGCAGGUAAUGACUCACUUCCCACUGAGGAGCCAGCUCUAGGUGAGAGUCUGGGCUCUCGGUGAGGUUGGGAGAAGGAAAAGGCUUAUGGGCCAGGGGAUGGGAGGGAGAAUGGGCACAGCCAGAGCAG
RNAcentral lists this long non-coding RNA (687 nucleotides) under Pan troglodytes (chimpanzee). RNAcentral's name for it is "lincRNA". The record is from RNAcentral. Lineage: Eukaryota; Metazoa; Chordata; Mammalia; Primates; Hominidae.